This 207-nucleotide long non-coding RNA is filed under the name Nicotiana benthamiana. RNAcentral describes it as "long non-coding RNA (NBEN_LNC015417)". Lineage: Eukaryota; Viridiplantae; Streptophyta; Magnoliopsida; Solanales; Solanaceae. The record is from RNAcentral.
UCAAAUCUUGUUGGGCAAUUACUUAGAAACACUGCUUACAUCUGUCAUGUUAGAAGUCCUAUUGAGUUUAGCCUACAAUUUCAACAGGUUUCAUGUAAUUAGAUAUAGAGGCAUAGUAUAGAAGUAGGAGAGGAGUUUAUUAUAGAUAAUCAGCUGUGUUAGCUGAAUUAUGGAAAUGUAAUGACUCUAUCUUUGGUGAUUAAUAAA